Long non-coding RNA from Sardina pilchardus (European sardine), 580 nucleotides. RefSeq lists it as uncharacterized. The record is from RefSeq and is a predicted model, not a curated record. Lineage: Eukaryota; Metazoa; Chordata; Actinopteri; Clupeiformes; Clupeidae. The transcript has 3 exons.
CGACACUGCUGUUCCUUCUGAAGGCACCAUGAAGCUCAGCAUCGCCAUCACCCUCUGCGCUCUACUCUACUUCUUUGGUCCUGCUUGCGGCCAGAAUAUCAACCAUGGUUUCGACCUCAUUUUCGAACACGUUUUCGACCCUAACUGUGGUUUCCAGGGUCAACUGAGGGGUUGCAAUACCAAUAGCGGAAAUGUUGACAACCGCGGGAAUAUGAAUAUGGGUCGAUUGAGGCGUGACAAUUCGAAUAGCGGAAGUGUUGGAAACAGCGGGAAUAUGAAUAUUGGUCGACUGAGGCGUGACAAUUUGAAUAGCGGAAGUUUCGACAACAGCGGAAGUGUGAAUAUGGGUCGACUGAGGCCUGCCAAUACCAAUAGCGGAGAUGUGGCAAACAACGGAAAUAUGAAUAUAGGUUGACUGAGGCGUACCUCUGAACCAACUGGAAAUGCAAUCGACCCAAAAGAUUGCUGAUGACGGGAAGCAGAGCUGCAGAGCUGCAGAGCUACGGUCCACCGUUGGUCCACAGUUGGUCAGGAAGACUCCAGAGUCACUUUGACACAAUAAAGAAUUUCAGCAUCACUU